Long non-coding RNA from Solea senegalensis (Senegalese sole), 1139 nucleotides. RefSeq lists it as uncharacterized. The record is from RefSeq and is a predicted model, not a curated record. Lineage: Eukaryota; Metazoa; Chordata; Actinopteri; Pleuronectiformes; Soleidae. The transcript has 3 exons.
GGAAUAGUGCUCGAUCUUUCAAUACUGGUCCUGGGGGAACCCUCUCCUACAUGUUUUAGAUGUUGCCCUGCUCCAACGCACCUGAUUCCAAUGGUCCGCUGAUUAGCAAGCUCUACAACAGCCUGAUAACGAGCCGUUCAUUUGAAUCAGAUAAUCACAUCACUGGAAAGUUCAUUCAUUCGAACUGUCGGAGCAAAGUCUUUUCCUCUGGAGAGGAAUUCCCUGAUCGUUCCCUGUAAGGACACACUUCCCGUUCCUCAGUCCACGGAUGAUUAAACGAUUCCUCCUGAUUCUUCCUGACUUUCAAACUUCAACCGUCUUAAGGAUGGAGGAUGAAGAAGAUCAAACAAAAUAUUGAGGGAUCUAUCUCAUCCUUUCUUUUUUUUAUUUUGUCUCAUUCAUUUAUUCAUUCAUUCACUCAGUCAUAUCAUCCCCUCGGCUCUAUCAACUCUAUUACCAUCCCACCAACAAAUAUGUAAGACAAAUUGAGUUGCAGGCUCUCAAUACCCACCACAAUUAUACCAGACCCAAUAAGAAGAAGAGUCAUUUGAUGGUAUAAUUGGAAAAGCUCCUCGCUCGGUCUCACUGCUCUCCCGGAGGGUUUUGCUCAUUUGUGUUGGCGCGUUAGCGACUAAUUCUUCCUCUAAUCGCAGACAAACUGUGCCAUCAGGUUGGUCUUUUAAUACACAGCAGGUAACUUCUUUCUUUUAUCUCAUUUACAGUGUGGAACUGUGUUGAUUUACACGUUUACAUGAACGGAACACUAGGGGAUAAUAUGCAUCACUUGUGAUGAGAUGAAAAUGGAGGCAUUAAGAGACUCCGUCGUGGAACUGUGGCGACUGUAAUCCCACUUCUCUGCGUGUCUGUCACUUGACAGCACUUGAGAGACAAUGACUGUGACCCAGAUGCUGGAUUCCAAUUAGUGGCGGUGAGUGUAACAGUUGAGAUGGAAAGUGAACAGGGUCUUUACAGAGUCCUGAGGGUGUCUGAGUACUGCCUGAAGACAAAUGAGAUCACAGAGGGAGAGUCAGUCAGACCACAGCUGUUUCUGAAGAGUCUCAGCUCAGCUCGGCUCAUGUAUGUGUUCCUCUACAUGUUAUGAACAUGUACGGCAGCACAGUCACAGUGUCUAUAAAUUU